Trachemys scripta elegans is the source of this 4087-nucleotide long non-coding RNA. RefSeq lists it as uncharacterized. The record is from RefSeq and is a predicted model, not a curated record. The transcript is spliced from 3 exons. Lineage: Eukaryota; Metazoa; Chordata; Testudines; Emydidae.
UUGAAGCUGGGUAACUAUAUCAAAUGCUUAUCUAUUUCAUACCUUGUAUUUUUUAUCAAUCUGAUCUGUAUUUAGGAAAGGGGACAGUGCAGUUCUCAAAUGUGUGGGUCUGCAAACUUGCACACCAGCUGUCCUAGUCAGUAGUGAAGCUAACAGGGCUAAGGUGAAGGUAUUCAUGCUGUUGGAAAUACAGCUAGCUGCCUCGGGAGACUGCUUUGAGGAAGAUUGCAGCAAUAUUGAAUCCCCACUGUUACUCGGGGAUAUUGCUGUGCACAUAUAUAAUUUGUGUUAGAUAAAAUCAGGAAGUAAUAAAGGGGGGGAAAGAAGAGCUGUGAGAUCUACUCUAUACUGUGUUUUAUAUCUUCAGGAAAAAAAAAUAUCCAGGGAAUGUUGCUUUAAUUUGUGGGGGGGAAAGUGUGCUGCUUUAAAUCAGAAAACUUGCAUUCUACUAACUCUUUUAGUUUGGGAACCAUUUGGGUGUGUUAUAAAGUAAAGUUGCAGAGUAGGCAUGUUUACUAGACCUUUAAUUGCUACAUUUAGUAGAAAGGCUUUUUUUUUUUUUACGACAAGAAGCCAGAGUUUGCUGUGCAAAUGAAGCAGGCUUCGCAAGAAUCAGAUUCACUUUGGACGACUCUUCACAUUCCUAGUCAUCAUUACAUUAGGCAGCACAAUUCCAUCUCUGGUUGAUGGGCAGAAAAAGUGGGCAGCCUGCCAGGUAGACGUUUCCAUGGCUCCCAACCCCCAAAGGUGAUGCGUUUUUCAGCUAAUUCAAUGAAGAGUGGGCUGAACUUUGGGUAUAAACUAGACAAUAGCUGCCUUCGCAGUAUCAGCAGAAUGGUUUAUGGGAAUGCACUCCACAUUUGGCAGAGAAUCAUGUGACCUUACGGCUGAGAUUUUGUGAUGGUGCCAACGGAGACUUGGAAAGCAGUACCCGUUCUGACUUUUUUCCUCUUUUCUUACAUGGCUCAGAAAAUGGUGGAUCUUAAUACUUGACUUUAGCCAGACUCAGCAAGCGAUUGAGCUUUGAAGCACAACUUUGCCUUUAUUCUGGCUUUUUUGGCACACCACCAGGAGGCUGUCCCUUUCACGCCUGAUAAACUCUGCUGCUUAUCUCUAACUAGGAAAAAAUAUAUAGAGAGAUAGAUAGAUAGAUGUAUAUACAGAAUAUUUAGACUUCAUAGAAUUUUAAAACUAUAGGUUCUAUUUUUUUUAUUGCUGAACUGUGGUUUAUAAGAAUCUUUUUGACUGUCUGAAGAAUAAAAGUUCUUACUGUUUAAUGAACAGGCGUUUGAACUGGGCAAACGGGGCGACAGCACUGAACAUGAGAUCAUUGCAGCAUAGUGUAGCAAACUGGCACCCUGCCUUUUCACCCCUUUGCUUCGGCAGAUUUGUGCAAUCCCCAUUUAUAAAAUCAGCACAGGGGCUAGAUGAAUUUUCUGAUCUCUUCCACCUCUAUCACUGUGCAGGCACUUGCAACAAGGAUUGGUGCAGCUUUUGCGCAGUGCUUUGUGCUUGGAAUUCCGAGAAGAACGAAAAAGAAGACAGGCAUCCUGGUCCUAUUCCGAGAAAUAACAGGAGCCUAAGAAGAAACAAAUCUGAGUUUGUCCUAGAUACAAGAGUGAUGGAAAAAUGUGAAUCUCCUGCUUCAAAAAAAAAAAAAAAAUCUGGCAUGUUUAACUACAGAGACAUCAGGAUGUGUUAGAGCUUCUUAAAACAAUAUAACUAAAUGAGCCUAAGCAAUUGUUUCUUUUACUUACCAAAAAAAUCUGAAUUUUAUUUCAUUAUUGCUUAAAUAGCAAUAUUUGGCAGUGGGUGAAAACGUACCUUUCAUAUCAGUGCAAGGAAAAAUUAAAACAGAAAUGAAAAAUGAAGAUGUUGGUUAUACCAGAAAUCACUGAAGGCCUGAGCGCAAAUGUUUCUGGCAUGUUCAAGCAAGCUGGCCAGCACACCAGGAGCAUCAGGAAGAUGAUGCAGAGUCAACCACAGCACACUGUGUCCCAGACUGCCUGCACCAGAGUUCAGACAGUCUUGUCUGCUACCUGCUUUUGUCCCACAGUUGGGUGAGAGUCAUUCUGUAUUUUAUUAUUUUCUUAAUAUAUACACAUAUAUUCUAUUGCCAUUUACCAGUUACUGCCCUGAUCUGUGCAUUUUGAAGCUCUCAGCCAAACCACUUGAGCUUUUGUUUUCCGUGUUGGCCUUAUACUUAUCUAGGAAAUACAUACCCUCAUAUAACCAUUCAUUUCUCUCAUAUGAUCUUCUGCUUGUCUCUGGUUCACAUGUUUGAAUUUAUUUCCCUGUUGCUCCAUUCCUACUCCUUCACUUGCUGAUGACAAUUUUGCUAGUGACAAAGCCUCCAGAGACUGCAGAGUAGCACAGAUAAGACAGAUUUGGGUUUUGCAGAGGUUUGGGGUUUGCCCACAGUCAAGGAGUGCAAUGGGAGAUGAUGGAAGGAGAGGGAGGAAAGUGUCCUGGCCACAGGUGCACAGGGAGACAGGUGCUUAACCAAACUAAACCUGAACACAACCGGCAUGGAGGGGUUGUGUCUGCUCUUCCAGCCAAUAGACUGGAGCAGCAGUCUUGCGACAGGGCUGUAUGACACCCUAACCUUGGAUUCAAUGAGCAGAUAUGACAUCUUUAACCACUACGUAACUCCUCCUACACAGAGCCUGAAAACUUGGGUUUCAUAUAGGUGGACAGAUUUCAAACUAUGUUCUUGGAUUCUGAGCCUUCUGAGGUUUGCCCAUGCAUAGACCUGCCUUUCUAGUUUCUAGACAGAUCCACAGCUUUGAAAAUAGGUGAUUGAUAGUCCUUGAAAUGUAUUGUAUGUAUUUCACUUUGCAGUGAUAUGCACUGUGUAGAUCUGAGAGGAGAGUCAAUAGAACCCUUAGAAAUACCUUAUCUGCUACGGUCAUUAAACUUUGGUGUUGUGGAGGAGCUUGCUUAUCUAUAUUUUUCUUUAUUUAAAAAAAAUCUAAUCUUUCUGAUGAUUCUUAAAAAUAUGCUUUCAUCUUCUCUUUACAUAACUACCUCUUUGGGGUGAAAGUAGCUGAAACUCCAUGUGCAUUCAGGGCUGGUUCAAGGGUCUGCACAUUCUCAUGAGGCUGAUCAGCUGAGCAGAUGCACUGGAAUGCCCAUUCGCCCCUUGUAUGCCAUGGAAACAGACCCCUGUGAGGGUAAUCCAGGGUUUUCAUUACUCUAUGCAACUGGCUUUGAGGAGUGUGGCCACUAUUUUAGCCCAUAUUAAGUACCACUCAUGUUUAUCCUGACUGGAGGGUGGAUUCACCUCUCUGACCACUCUUACCUUUGCAGGGCUCGAAUCCUUGGGCUUUAUGCAAGUGAAGUGAAUCUCACCCUAAGUCUUUGAAUCCCCUGAUGUGACUUCCAACAGUGGCUGUGUUAACUUGUGCCAGUUCUGAGGAUGUCCUUCUGUGAUGUAGAGUGUUGUCCCGAGGAACUAGAUUGUGACCAAUGGCACCUCCUAUAUGUCAUUGAAUGUCUACCAGGUUGUGAAAAUGUUUGGCCUCUACCAAUCCAGGCCACAUUUAAUUAGCAAUGACCUAUAUGCAUUAAGAUUCUGAUUCCAUUUCUGAUUUCUUGAGCCUGAUGGUUUAUAUACAUUUUCUGAGGCAAGUAUUCUAAAGCACUAGGGGUUAGAUUUGGUAUUAUGGGCAGGCUUCAGGAUGCAAAUUUUAAUAAUAAACUGAAUCCUAUAUUGGUAAAGGAUUUCAUUAAUAUGCCUCAUUACAAUGUACUAGAAGAUUGCUGUUUUGCUGAAAUUAUUUGGCUUCUAGUCUAAAUAUCUUAUUAUUUAUAAGUUUUAUUGUUACCGUUAUUGACAUUUCUAAUGAAAACCAGGGCCAAUUUUUUUUUUUAAAUGAGUAACAAAUAAGUAACAAAGUUGGCACCUAAAUUCCUGUUUAGGGUAAAAAAUGUAAAAGCCUUUAAAUCUUGUUUUCAGAAACGUUUUAGGAACCUAAGUCCCAUUGAUUUACAAUAAGGCUUAAGCUCUUCAGCACUUUUGACAAUGGGACUUAGGCUCCUAAGUCAUGUAGUCACAUUUGAAAAUUUUCCCCUUCGGUUCAUAAAU